This is a non-coding RNA of Orcinus orca (killer whale), 886 nucleotides long. Lineage: Eukaryota; Metazoa; Chordata; Mammalia; Artiodactyla; Delphinidae. The record is from the annotation of a RefSeq genome assembly.
UGAUCCCAAUAAGGAAGGAGAAUGGAGAAACUCCUGACCGUGUCUUUGGUGAUUCUGUGGCUUCAACUGGCCAGGGUGAAUAGCCAGCAAGGAGAAGAGAAUCUUCAGGCCCUGAGCAUCCAGGAGGGUGAAAAUGCCACCAUGAACUGCAGUUAUAAAACUGCUAUAGACACCUUACAUUGGUACAGACAGGAUUCAAGGAGAGGCUUUGCCCACCUGAUUUUAAUACGUUCAAAUGAGAGAGAGAAGCUUAGUGGAAGACUGCGAGUCACGCUUGACAACUCCAUCAAAGGCAGUUCCCUGUCCAUCACGGCUUCCCAGGCUGCAGACACUGCUACUUACCUCUGUGCUACGGAUACACAGUGCUCACCAGGCAACUGCAGCCCCAACGCAAACCCUGCCAGAGCUGCCUCUUAGAAGCCGCAACAGUGUGUAGAGGUGGUGGUUAUGUCUUCCCACAAAGGAGAGUCUACAAACAGCUGGCAACAGGAAAGGGAGGCCUGUCAAAUUCCUGAUGUUUUUGGCAGCAUGUUAGACUAGGGUAAAGGGCAUGAGAUUUAGAACGGGAAACUGAAAUACCAGCUUCAGCUCUGCCCAUCCUGGCUCUGUGUCCUUAAGCACACCAUCGGUGUAGCAGCCUUCAGUUUCCUCACUUUAAACAAAGGAUUUGGACUCAUGAGCCUAAAGACCCUUCAAGCUCUAAUUUUACCAGGUCACUUGUGGAGGAUGAGGAAGGACUUGUCAGUAUUAGAAGGUCUCAUCUGUUAUAUGUACAGCCCCCUCAGGACUUAGGUGGCUUUGAGAUGCAUGAGAGGAUUUUUGCAUUUCUCUAAUUCUAACAGUAGAUUCAUCAGACAUUAGAGUUAAAAAGGAUCUUAGGACUCUU